UACAGAGGGUGCAAGCGUUAAUCGGAAUUACUGGGCGUAAAGCGUGCGUAGUCGGUUAUUUAAGUCGGGCGUGAAAGCCCCGGGCUCAACCUGGGAAUUGCGUUCGAUACUGGAUAGCUAGAGUUCGGCAGAGGGAAGCGGAAUUUCUGGUGUAGCGGUGAAAUGCGUAGAUAUCAGAAGGAACAUCAAUGGCGAAAGCGGCUUCCUGGACCAGAACUGACGAUCAGGCACGAAAGCGUGGGGAGCAAACAGG
RNAcentral lists this ribosomal RNA (253 nucleotides) under uncultured bacterium. RNAcentral's name for it is "partial 16S ribosomal RNA". It matches the Rfam family "Bacterial small subunit ribosomal RNA", at positions 524 to 776 of the family's 1533-position model. The record is from RNAcentral.